This 497-nucleotide ribosomal RNA is filed under the name Escherichia coli. RNAcentral describes it as "partial 23S ribosomal RNA". It matches the Rfam family "Bacterial large subunit ribosomal RNA", at positions 2214 to 2710 of the family's 2925-position model. Lineage: Bacteria; Pseudomonadati; Pseudomonadota; Gammaproteobacteria; Enterobacterales; Enterobacteriaceae. The record is from RNAcentral.
UUGAUGUUCUAACGUUGACCCGUAAUCCGGGUUGCGGACAGUGUCUGGUGGGUAGUUUGACUGGGGCGGUCUCCUCCUAAAGAGUAACGGAGGAGCACGAAGGUUGGCUAAUCCUGGUCGGACAUCAGGAGGUUAGUGCAAUGGCAUAAGCCAGCUUGACUGCGAGCGUGACGGCGCGAGCAGGUGCGAAAGCAGGUCAUAGUGAUCCGGUGGUUCUGAAUGGAAGGGCCAUCGCUCAACGGAUAAAAGGUACUCCGGGGAUAACAGGCUGAUACCGCCCAAGAGUUCAUAUCGACGGCGGUGUUUGGCACCUCGAUGUCGGCUCAUCACAUCCUGGGGCUGAAGUAGGUCCCAAGGGUAUGGCUGUUCGCCAUUUAAAGUGGUACGCGAGCUGGGUUUAGAACGUCGUGAGACAGUUCGGUCCCUAUCUGCCGUGGGCGCUGGAGAACUGAGGGGGGCUGCUCCUAGUACGAGAGGACCGGAGUGGACGCAUCACU